This is a long non-coding RNA of Triticum dicoccoides, 521 nucleotides long. RefSeq lists it as uncharacterized. The transcript is spliced from 6 exons. NCBI's taxonomy places the organism in Eukaryota, Viridiplantae, Streptophyta, Magnoliopsida, Poales, Poaceae. The record is from RefSeq and is a predicted model, not a curated record.
AUGCUUUUCUAAGUAUUUAAGGUACAGACAUUGGAUCUGGACAUUUCACAUUGGCUCUUUAUUGUGUUGCUAAGGACACUGAUGGGUUGAGUUUGCAUAAAACGCAGUAUGGAGCAACAAAUUGGUCUCAUUGCAAGGUCACUACCUGGACGUAUAGGCAAGCAAUGUCAAGAGAGACAUACAGAGAGAUGCUUGGACUAUGAGGAGGAACAUGCACUGUAUAAUGCCCAGGGAAUAAAUGGGCAGAAAUAGCAAAAUUUCUUCCUAGAAGACAUCUGAACAUUGCAGGAAUGGGGUACUUCCAUUUGUGUAACUUCUAUUUGUUAUCAGUUCUUCUCACCUAUAGCUAAAGUCAAAGACGACAAACCAGGUGAAUUAUUGGAGUUGCAAGAUACACAGAAUCAGUCAUCUUAAUCUUGUUUUGUAAAUAUGACUGCUGGUGCUGCUGGUAACGCUAUCCAUCGGCUUGUAGCUCAUGAGAGGCAACCACAGUUGCGAACUUGAAACAUAUAUCUUUUAGG